Molecule: ribosomal RNA, 468 nt
Filed under: uncultured bacterium
Lineage: Bacteria
Description: partial 16S ribosomal RNA
Rfam family: Bacterial small subunit ribosomal RNA
Source: RNAcentral
GACGAACGCUGGCGGCGUGCUUAACACAUGCAAGUCGAACGGAAAGGCCCUGCUUUUGUGGGGUGCUCGAGUGGCGAACGGGUGAGUAACACGUGAGUAACCUGCCCUUGACUUUGGGAUAACUUCAGGAAACUGGGGCUAAUACCGGAUAGGAGCUCCUGCUGCAUGGUGGGGGUUGGAAAGUUUCGGCGGUUGGGGAUGGACUCGCGGCUUAUCAGCUUGUUGGUGGGGUAGUGGCUUACCAAGGCUUUGACGGGUAGCCGGCCUGAGAGGGUGACCGGCCACAUUGGGACUGGGGUACGGCCCAGACUCCUACGGGGGGCAGCAGUGGGGAAUCUUGCACAAUGGGCGGAAGCCUGAUGCAGCAACGCCGGGUGCGGGAUGACGGCCUUCGGGUUGUAAACCGCUUUCGCCUGUGACGAAGCGUGAGUGACGGUAAUGGGUAAAGAAGCACCGGCUAACUACGUG